AGUAAGAUCUGAGAGGAGCUCCAUCAUGGCUGCCACAGAGACUCGGAGAAGUGAGAAGAGCUAGGCAGCUUCCUCUUUAUCCAAAGGAGGCCGAGAAGAAGGAAGUGAUUCCAGAAAGGUAUCACCAUUCCUCAGUUACGAAACCCAAGUGAGACCACAAUAUCCUGACUUCCAGUCUAGAGCUAUCUGUAAUGCAAUAAAUCUCUUCACAGGAGCAUAUACACUGGGAACGGGAACUCUCACAGGAGAUUCUCUCCCUUGUUGAUUGGAAAAAGCCAGCUGCCAUGUUGUGAGUAUCCCAUUUAAAAGGGCUAUAUGGCAAGGAACCGAGGGCAGCCUUCAGCUGACAGCCAGCAAGAAACCAAGAUCCUCAGUCUGGUAGCUUGCAAGGCACUGAAUUCUGCCAACAACUGCGUGAGCUUGGAAGUGGAUCCUUCCUCAGUUAAGCCUUGGACAAGACCCAAGCCCUGUUGGACGCUUUAAUUACAGCCUUGCAGAGAACCCAGCUAAGGCAUGUUCAGACCUGAUCCACAGAAACUGUGAGAUAAUCCAUGUGUGUUGUUUUAAGCCUCUAAGUGUGUGGUAAUUUGUUACACAGCACUGGUUAGCUAACACAGAUACCUAGACAGCUGGUAAAGCAUUAUUUCUGGAUGUGUCUGUGAGGGUGUUUCUGGAGGAGAUUGGCAUGUGAGUCAGUGAACUCUGUGGGCAAGAGCUGCCCUCAAUGUAGGUGGGCACCAUCCAAUGUUGUUUUGUUGUAUCUAGGGGCCCAGAUAAAACAAAAAGGCAGAGGAAAGGUGAAUUCACUCUCUCUCUCCUGAAGCUGGGGUACUUUUAUCUCUUGCCCUUGGACAUCAGAACUCCAGGUUCUCUGGCCUUUGGACUCUGGGACUUGCACCAGCUCCCGGCUUCUCAGGACUUCAGCCUCAGAUUGAGAGUCACUCCAUUAACUUUCCUGGUUUAAAAGCCUUUAUACUUGGACUGAGAAACACCAACAGCUUCCCUGGGCUUCCAACUUGCAGAUGACCUAUCACAGGACUUCUCAGCCUCCAUAAUCGCAUGAGCCAAUUCUCCUAAUAAGUCCCCUUUCACAUAUCUAUUUAUCUACAUACGUAUAUCCUACUGGUUCUGUCUUUCUCAGGAACCCUGACCAAUAUAGUAUGUAUCUCUAAAAGAUAAGGACAUCAAAAAAUAUUACCGCGUCUAAAAAUAAAGUGAUUUCUUAACGUCAUGAAAUAUCCAAUUGCUCUCCAAAUUUUCACAAUUACAAAAGUCCACAUGUUGCAUUUAAUUUUAAUGCCUCUUAAUUCUCCCUUAAUUUUGAGAUUGCCUUUUAAGUAAGGCAGUUUAGCUCCCUAGUUUCACUCUAGCCCAUCCAAGGUGUUUCCAAAAACCUCACCUUCACACUAACCACAUCCAUUAUAAGCUGCUUCUUAAACGAUGAGAGCUCUCACUCUCUAAAAGGAAUUCUAAGCAUACCUCUUAAAGUAAUAACAUAUUAUAUCUCUACUAAGUUUAUAAUCAUAAAGAAUGUGGGUAUUUGCAUUCUCAUUUUACAGAUGGGAAAAUUAGUGUAGGUAACACAUAUAGAGAGGUGAUAAAUAGCAAUGGUUUCCAAGAAUGAUGACGAUUUCAGUGUGAAACAGAGAGUAGCAAUGGCAAGAGAUACAGCUAAGUAAAUGUGGAUGGUGAGGGACCCAUUCUGCCUUGUUAAAAGGUUUGAACCCACCCUAUAGACAAUAAAUCACUCAGUGAAUCACUGAGCAAUUUUAAUUAUGGAAGCAAUGUGAUCAGAUUUAUAUUUAAGGCAAGAGGAUUGGUGGCAAUGUAGAAGGCAAACACAAGUCAGAAAGAGUUAGAAGUAAGAAAAGUGAGUAGUCUGAAGAAAUUGGACACAUAAGAGAUGAGGGGGCUGGAAUGACUAACUAUGCAUCUUAUUCUGAAAUAUGUCUCUUAGGUAAUUGAUUAUUGAUACCCCACAUCCAAAUAGUGGGACAGUUAACUGAGAUGUCAGAGCCAGCCUUUUCAACACUUCUAGAGAGAAAUUUUGCAAAGACACAUCUCUUGUACCUCCAUGGACUUUUAAUACAGAUAUGUUUAUCAUAAGAUAACCUUCUAAAGAGCUCAUGAUAGCAUAUGAUCAAACUCCUUAUUGUACAGUCAGGAGGAAUCAGCCUUGUUGAAGGAAGGGGCUUACCCAAAGUUACAAGUUGGGACAAAAUUUUUGCUUCCAAUUCACUGCUGUUCUUACUAGAACUGUUUUCUCCAGUCUCAUAGAAGUUCUGAGAAACAAUUAGGCCCACACUAUCAUCAACAGGCAAAUAUGUGUGCCUGACCAGACAGACAGAGAGGUAUUUUGAGAGAGGCCAGGAAUGAAACUGGUGAAGAGGCCCAGAGUUUCAAUCCUGUUCUCACUCAAGAUUCAUCAUCAUCAUCAUCUUUACUAUAAGGAAGAGGGCAUUUAAAAGCACAAAUGAGAUUGUUAGUGAUAAAAAGGUACUUAUACACCAGCCAAUUCCAUCCUCCAUUUUGCUGAGGCUCAAAGAGGUACAGUGACUUAUCUUCGGUUAUGUAUGCAACUAUUGCAGAGCUGGAUAUUGGACUUAGGCCUCCUGAAGCCCAGCACUGUGCCUGCAGGAGCAUUCCCAACUCCUGUCUUUCUGCUCAAUACAUGGGGAAGAGACGAACAAUUUAGGCUACUCAAAAUGUGGUGGGCAUUUGGGCUCUGGGGAGAGCUUCAGCAUCUCUUCUCUCUUUUCAUGUUCUCCAACUCCUCAAGCAACAUACACACAUAGCAUAAAGAUCACUAGCCAGCUAUUUUCUGUCUUGAAAAAUUUUUAUGAUAAGAGUUUUCUAAUUAGGGAAAGCCACAGUUCAUACACAAAACACAAAUUACUAGGCUCUUUGUCUUUUUCAGAAGAAGUAUUAAUCCAUAAAUAAAUAUACUCUGUUGCCAAGUCACUACCAUGCUGUAUCACAUGGCCAAAGGAUGCCAAAAGGUAUGAGCUCUUGGUGAAUCCCAGCUAUUGACAGCCAGGUGCUGGACCUUAACCAGAGGCAUUGCUAUAGGUGGUUAAGUAUAUGGGCUCUGGUCAGUGGUGACAAAGUUCCUGGGUUCAAAUCCCAACACCCCCAGUUACUAGUUAUGUGACCUUGGACAAGUUGAUUAAAAUCUCUGUACUUCAACUCCUUUAUUUGUAAUAUGGAAAUGAUUUUUUAAAUUACCUAUCUUCUGGGUCUAUUGCAAAAUUAUCUUAUUUAAUAAUAAGAUAAUCCACUUAAGGCACUAUAUGUGAGUUUUUGCAUGUAGUGAGCACUUGAACCAAUAGAGUAUAUUUCCUUUUGAAUGUAAGAAAUUCACAGAGACAGCUUCUCUAUAGUAAAGGUAAGAAUCAAAACUGAGUUUCUAUAAAUUACUUUGUAUUGCUUAGAGAAAGAAGUCAUGGCAAUAGAUUGAAUAUAUUUUAAUUUAAAGUAGAAAAUUAUAUAGGAAAAAUAGAUAUAUCUUCCAGAGCUCAGUCUCAAAGGCCACAUUUUCUUUUGAGUAUUUUAACCUCCAAAACAUACUUAGUAUGUGGUGAAAUUGCCUACUUCUGGGUUGAGUAAUGUGAGCUAUCAUUACCAUGGUAACAACAAGGCCAAUAACUUGAACUCCAGUCAUAGUAGCUACAAUAAAGGGGACUCAGUUUGGAAAUAAUUAGAAUCCAUCCUUUUUGAGACUGAAAUUCAUUGCCUUUAAGACUCAAUCAACAUUCCUGGUGGUAGUCUGGAAUCAGCUCAAAUCAAGAUACAUCUAUCUUUAAAAAGAAUAUAGGACAAGAAAUCCAAAAUAGGAAAAAAAUCAAAUCAUCUUAUCUUUCUGGUGCAUUUACUAGUCUGAUGAGUCAUAAGAAAAUAAUAACCCAGAGGUUAGAAACAAAGACAUAAGCACAAUUCCUUUCAUUCCAUGGGUAAAAUUGAA
This 3961-nucleotide long non-coding RNA is filed under the name Homo sapiens (human). RNAcentral's name for it is "HSALNT0016667". The record is from RNAcentral. Lineage: Eukaryota; Metazoa; Chordata; Mammalia; Primates; Hominidae.